RNAcentral lists this ribosomal RNA (80 nucleotides) under Escherichia coli. RNAcentral's name for it is "partial 16S ribosomal RNA". It matches the Rfam family "Bacterial small subunit ribosomal RNA", at positions 1 to 80 of the family's 1533-position model. The record is from RNAcentral. Lineage: Bacteria; Pseudomonadati; Pseudomonadota; Gammaproteobacteria; Enterobacterales; Enterobacteriaceae. RNAcentral also lists the same sequence under 6 other names.
AAAUUGAAGAGUUUGAUCAUGGCUCAGAUUGAACGCUGGCGGCAGGCCUAACACAUGCAAGUCGAACGGUAACAGGAAAC